AUGCAGUUCCUCACCGCCUCCGCCGCGUGCUCCUCCUCCGCCCCGCGCCCCGCGCACCUCCUCCGCGUCUCGAGGCCCCCUCCCUUCCCCCACCUCCGCCGCCGACGCGCCCCCUACCUGCCCUCCGCGUCGCUCUGCCUAGCCGCCAGACCCCCGCUCCUCCUCGCCUCGCGCCGCUCCCUGCUCUUCACCCCCCGCGCCCACGGCGACCACCACCAUCACCACCACAAUCACCACGGGCAUGGGCACGGCCAUGGCCACGGGCACCAUGGACACGACCACGGCCACGGCGGGGCGGACGUGCACGGGGGAGGCGGGGGCGCGGCGGUCAUGCGGAUGGCGAGGGCGAUCGGGUGGGCCGACGUCGCCGACGCGCUGCGGGAGCACCUGCAGCUCUGCUGCAUCUCCCUCGGCCUUCUCCUCAUGGCCGCCGUCUGCCCGCACGUCCCGCUGCUCAACUCGGUCGGGCGCCUGCCGGCCGCGCUCAUCGCCGUCGCCUUCCCUCUUGUCGGGGUCUCUGCAGCACUUGACGCUCUUGUAGAUAUCGCAGAUGGAAAAAUAAAUAUCCAUGUCCUCAUGGCUCUUGCAGCAUUUGCUUCUAUAUUUAUGGGAAACUCAUUGGAGGGUGGUUUACUUCUUGCAAUGUUUAACUUAGCCCAUAUCGCUGAAGAGUACUUUACAAGCAAGUCAAUGUAUGAUGUGAGGGAACUUAAGGAAAAUCAUCCAGAAUUUGCACUGUUGUUAGAAACAAGUGGAGAUGAAUCGGCACACUUUUCAAAUCUGAAUUAUGCAAAAGUUCCUGUGCAUGACCUUGAAGUGGGUUCUCAUAUUUUGGUCAGAGCUGGUGAGGCUGUGCCUGUUGAUGGAGAAGUUUACCAAGGAUCAUCCACAAUCACCAUCGAACACCUCACUGGUGAAACAAAACCUGUUGAGAGGACAGUGGGGGAUGCUAUACCAGGUGGAGCCAGGAAUUUGGAAGGAAUGAUGAUUGUAAAGGUGACCAAAUCCUGGGAGGAUUCAACACUCAACAGAAUUGUCCAGCUGACUGAAGAGGGCCAGCUAAACAAGCCAAAGUUGCAAAGAUGGUUAGAUGAGUUUGGGGAGCAUUAUAGCAAAGUUGUCGUGGCUCUGUCUUUGGCUGUUGCACUACUGGGACCAUUCCUCUUUAAUUGGCCCUUUUUCGGUAACUCAGUUUGUAGGGGUUCAAUUUACCGUGGAUUAGGACUUAUGGUGGCUGCAUCUCCGUGUGCAUUGGCAGUAGCUCCAUUAGCAUAUGCCACUGCAAUCAGUUCUCUUGCAAGUAAGGGAAUUUUAUUGAAAGGUGGGCAUGUCUUAGAUGCCCUAUCUUCUUGUCAGUCUAUUGCUUUUGACAAGACAGGCACAUUAACAACUGGGAAGCUUAUGUGCAAAGCAAUCGAGCCUAUUCAUGGACAUUUGGAUGCGGGUAAUGGUGUUGACCCUUCUUGUUGUACUCCGAACUGUGAAAGUGAAGCUCUAGCUGUUGCUGCAGCUAUGGAGAAAGGAACAACCCAUCCUAUUGGAAGGGCAGUUUUAAAACACUCUGUUGGGAGAGACCUCCCAGUGGUUGCUGUUGAGAGUUUUGAGAGCUUACCUGGUAGAGGAGUUGUUGCUACUUUGAGUGGCAUAAAGGCAAGAGACAAUGAAAAUGAGUUUGCUAAGGCAUCUAUCGGUUCUGUGGAAUACAUUUCUUCACUAUACAGAUCUUAUGGUGAAUCUGAACAAAUAAAAGAGGCAGUAAAGUGUUCUGCAUUUGGUCCUGAAUUUGUCCAAGCUGCUCUCUCAGUAGAUAAAAAGGUAACCCUUUUCCACUUUGAGGAUGAACCCCGUACUGGUGUCUGUGAAGUUAUAUAUACCUUAAGAGAAAAGGCUAAACUUCGAAUCAUGAUGCUUACUGGAGAUCAUGAAUCAAGUGCUCAGAGAGUUGCUAAAGCUGUAUGCAUUGAAGAAGUUCACUUCUCUUUAAAACCAGAGGACAAGUUGAACAAAGUAAAAGCAGUUUCAAGGGAGGGAGGUGGAGGUUUAAUAAUGGUUGGUGAUGGUAUAAAUGAUGCCCCAGCUCUUGCAGCUGCAACAGUCGGUAUUGUUCUAGCACAACGCGCCAGUGCAACAGCGGUAGCUGUUGCAGAUGUUCUGUUGUUGCAGGAUAAUUUAUGUGUGGUGCCAUUUUGUAUCGCUAAAGCUCGUCAAACAACAUCAUUGGUGAAGCAAAGUGUAGCUCUUGCCUUAACCUGUAUUGUUUUUGCUGCACUUCCUUCUGUCUUAGGAUUUCUUCCUCUUUGGUUGACGGUUCUUCUCCAUGAAGGAGGAACCCUUCUCGUUUGCUUGAACUCAAUACGAGCUCUCAACCCCCCAACAUGGUCUUGGGCAGAUGACAUCCGACAACUCGUCCAUAGCCUAAAAAACUACGUCUCGGCAAAGUUGAAUAGCUCCUACUCAGAUUGCUCAGCUAGUACCGUUCCUUUGUAG
RNAcentral lists this ribosomal RNA (2487 nucleotides) under Triticum aestivum (bread wheat). RNAcentral describes it as "partial small subunit ribosomal RNA". Lineage: Eukaryota; Viridiplantae; Streptophyta; Magnoliopsida; Poales; Poaceae. The record is from RNAcentral.